AUUGAACGCUGGCGGCAUGCUUUACACAUGCAAGUCGAACGGUAACAGGCCGCAAGGUGCUGACGAGUGGCGAACGGGUGAGUAAUGCAUCGGAACGUGCCCAGUCGUGGGGGAUAACUACUCGAAAGAGUAGCUAAUACCGCAUACGCUCUGUGGAUGAAAGCGGGGGACCGUAAGGCCUCGCGCGAUUGGAGCGGCCGAUGUCAGAUUAGGUAGUUGGUGGGGUAAAGGCUCACCAAGCCAACGAUCUGUAGCUGGUCUGAGAGGACGACCAGCCACACUGGGACUGAGACACGGCCCAGACUCCUACGGGAGGCAGCAGUGGGGAAUUUUGGACAAUGGGCGCAAGCCUGAUCCAGCAAUGCCGCGUGCAGGAAGAAGGCCUUCGGGUUGUAAACUGCUUUUGUACGGAACGAAACGGCUCUGGUUAAUACCCGGGGCUAAUGACGGUACCGUAAGAAUAAGCACCGGCUAACUACGUG
This 482-nucleotide ribosomal RNA is filed under the name uncultured bacterium. RNAcentral's name for it is "partial 16S ribosomal RNA". It matches the Rfam family "Bacterial small subunit ribosomal RNA", at positions 30 to 507 of the family's 1533-position model. The record is from RNAcentral.